Lactuca sativa (garden lettuce) is the source of this 2737-nucleotide non-coding RNA. The record is from RefSeq and is a predicted model, not a curated record. Lineage: Eukaryota; Viridiplantae; Streptophyta; Magnoliopsida; Asterales; Asteraceae.
AUGUGGUAGUCCUAUGGGCAGUAGCCAUCAUCGGGUUUGUAUUUGGGUGGCAUUGAGGGAUACAACAUUAGUUGUUAAGGAAAGGGCAGUUAAGUUAAUAAACCCUAGUUGCUACUUUCUUGAAUAAACUUUUUUCAUGAAAAAGAAAUAAAGGUGAAUUCAUGAUGUCAAGAUACAGAGAGGUUGCAGAAAUUGUUCUUAGAUAUCUAGAACAUAGGAAUCCCCUUGUUCGUCUCAGUAUAACUUCUUUAUUUUAGUUUAGAGAUUAGACAUAUAGAAAAGAAAAGAAGAAUGCAUGUUGUGUUUUAUUUUAAUUUUAAUAUAAAAAAACUGGGUAGGUGUUGACAUAUGCUCAGCAAUCUCGAGAGAUAUCAAAUUAUGAGCAAGGAGCCGGUGGCUCUUUUUUGUAUGACAGACCAGUUGUUUCCAAUCCAGGGGUAAUGGAAACCCAUGCUCUUAACAAGUAUUUAUGUUGCACCAGACACUUCACUUUCAAGGAAAAAAGCUUGAGAGCUUCGAACCAAUGAAAAAAAUGCAGCUAAAAGUUGUUUAGGUGAUGAAAUUAGAACAUCCAUGUUUCUUUUACUGGAGACCAAGUAUCCAAAAGUGAUUCCCAUCAAGUCACUAAAUCAAGAUAAGUGCCCUUUAGAGAUCAGAGGCAGGAAAAUGCGAUGAUAUCAGUGGAGUAAAUUCUGUAACUCAACUUCCUUUACUUUACUUCACUUAUUAUAUAUUUAUAUUUUUACUUCACAGUUUGUUCAGGUAAAAAGUUGUUAAUUUACCGAAUUGCCCUUUUUGUUAUAUUUUUUUUUUAAUUUUCUGAAAUGUUGGCAGGUGUUUAAUAAUAGUCCAGAUGAAACUGCUUAUAUUCGUUUUUGGUCCUUAUUGCAAGGUUCAAAAUCGAUAUGAAACCUUGAAAUAAGGACCAGAAUUGGAAGGAAAAAAAAGUUUCAAUAUUGGACCAAAAGAUAAACAAGCUGACAAGUCUCUAAGGCAAAAGAUAGCUUCCAUAACAGCCAAAGAUAAAAUCAACAAACUAAACCCAAAAAACCCACUUCAAGACAUUCAUGAAAACGGGAUAAAGAGUGGCAGAGUAGCAUAAACAUGGGGCAUUUUUGUUCUCGAUAGCCGAGGAAUGCUUUGGCAGUCAAAUCUCUGGAAUCAUUUGAUGCAACAAGGUGGAUAGAUAUAAACCUAAUUCGUCUAUGUUCCAAAUUUGGGGACUAUAGAAAAGAUGAACCUUCUUCAUUUUCUGUAAACCCUAGUUUCUCAUUGUUCCCUCAAUUCAUGUUCAAUCUUCAAAGAUCACAGUUUGUUCAAGCAUUUGCUCGGUUGUUACAUGCUCCACAUGAUGAUGCAGAUUGGUGGUGUGCGAUCAACAUGGCCUUCCUUGGUUUAUGAAUCUGAUUUUUUCAAUUUUGGUCACAAAAAUAUGUGAAAAACAAGCAAGAUUCUUAUUGGCUAAGUUGAAUCCAUCAACAACAUAUAACAAUGAAGUGGCUACAGAUGGAAUGGAUGUCAUCUUCCCUGAUGUUGUCAACACUAGUAGACCUUUGCAUACUGUUGAAAUAAGGUUUUAGAGAAACUGGUACAUAUAGCUUUAACUUCAUGUUUUUGCAGAUGACAGUAAGAGAUGCUUUGAACUCUGCUCUUGAUGAGGAAAUGGUUGUUGCUUCCGGUGUCUUUAUCAUGGGUGAAGAGGUAACUAGCUAGUACUGUGUUUAUCAUUAUAUAUCUAGAGAGUCACAAUCGCGUAAUGGUGACUGGAAUGCAAAAAAGGUCAAGAAUCAAAAUCCCAAGGAUAGGAAGGGGAUGUCUGACAAGAAGCCAAAUUCAAGAGAUGGUUCUGUUAGACAAAGAUCAGUUAGUUCGAAGUCAUGUCGGCGAUCGACUUCAAGUUCUAAAGCAAGUAAUAAGGCAUCCAUUAGAUCAAACAUGAAAUGGGUUAAACCCAACUACAGAUGGGUACCAAAGGUUCACACUCCCAAAUCAUCUAAUGAUUCUAACAUUUCUUCAUCUUCUAUGUCUGAUAAAUAGGAUAUGUCAUAGGAGAGAGCACCUUGCAUAUAUGAUACAGGUCAACCCAGUUUCAAAAUGGAUUAGGUUCCAAAAGCUAACUAAUCCUACACUUUGUGUCGGAGCAGCUAUGGAGGAAUAUCAUCAGACUUCGGUUUGUUGAUAGUGGUUGUUCCAGGCACAUGAUAGGGGACAUCUCUUACCUGUACAACAUUCAUAACUUAAAUUGAGAGUUUGUAUCCUUUGCGGGAAAGGAGGAAGAAAGAUAUCACCAAUGGGGAACGUGUUUAACGGCGUGUUGAAUUUUGAGUUUGCUUACUUCUGUUCCAGAAUUGAAACACAGCUAAGGCUGAAUACGUUACUGCAUCUUCUUGAUGUUAUCAAGUCAUCUAAAGGCGUCCUCAAUUGUUGAAUUACGGUUUGAAUUCUUUUGAUACUAUUGAGUUUUAUUCAAAUGAUUCGUUUCAAAGACAAAUUUUUAUUUUUGUUUGUUUAAAUUUGCACAUUUAUUCUAUUUCUUCCCCAUGCACAAAUCAAGGAGGAGAAAUCAAAAAUUAAAAAUUCCAAAAAAUAUUUUUCUUUCGUAAGUAUUUUUGGAAAGUGAUAUGAGAUUUAGUGAUAAAAGGGAAGUUAAAUUAUCUGACAACUUUGAUCCCAAAAGUUCUUGUUUUGUACAUUUUGUAUUUUAUUUCUGAUUUUCUUAAAUUUGUUCAUAUUUUCU